Molecule: long non-coding RNA, 1854 nt
Organism: Oncorhynchus tshawytscha (Chinook salmon)
Lineage: Eukaryota; Metazoa; Chordata; Actinopteri; Salmoniformes; Salmonidae
Source: Ensembl
CCCUGGCCCAGCUGAGUAAAUGUCAAUGAAUUAAAGGAUUAUGCCACCAACUCCAUGGGCCUUUUCUACAGUCUUAUUGUUCCAUUCUCGAGAAGGAACCUGCAAGUGGAGGGUUGUCCCAGCGGAGAGUCGCCGUUCCUUCUUGAUCUGAAUACCAGGAAAAUACUUCACUCAUCCGAGUAUGCGCGGUGUAACAGCCGGCCACCACCCGAGGGCGCUGGGUCGGUGACUGUCUCCGAGUCAGAGAGAAGGGACGGCAAAGGAAGCUUUUGCCAACAAUGUCAAAUUAAUGUGACUGAGCUGAAGAGGCAAGCGCUGGCCUUGGCAGACCCAAGUUCACUAACGAUUUGUGAAUACAUGUUUAACUUUACUUUGAGUCUCAAGGCUGGUUGUAUUUGACCCGUAAUGCUCGGUUUGCAUGACAAGGACAGACUGCCUUGGUUCCAACUUCCACUCAUUUAUUGCAGGGGAUAUAGGGGCACAGAUGGCAUGCUCAGAAUAAAGCGUGCUUCCACCUUCCUCCCAGUGUAGAUAGCUGUAGGCAUGCAGUGUGAUUCUGCAUGUUUCUGACUAUGUCCUGUGUCAUGACCCAUGCUCCAGCUUUGCCUUGUGGUCCUCAUCACUGAUGGGCACCCCUCUGAUGGUUUUAUGUUUGUACUCACUGCCAAUGUGCCUAUGAGAUAGUCCAGUGCAAUGGGUACACAUGGCUGUAAGACUUGUGAGCUCUGUAUUCCCAGCAUGUAGUAGCUGUUGCUCAGGCUGUGUUGAUUGUCAAGCAAAUAGCUGUUGGUCUCACGGUAAAUGACCGUUAAUUUAAAACACAUCCUGCCUUCCACACAGCCUACAAGCAAUUUAAAAAGUCGAAUAAAUCCCUGUAAUAUAACCUACACCAAUAAAUCCAUUAUUUAUUUGAGACAGUUCUAAAGAAGCAUAAUAUGAAGAAAAUGUAGUCUAUUUCCGAAUAAAAAAAUAGCUAUCCUUAUGUUAGGUCCUGAUGUGGCUAUGCCAAAUGGCUGUGGGCUACACUAGUUCAUUUAGCAGACAAGAUUUGCUUAUAAUUCCGUGGCAUUAUUUUUUAUUAUGUUAUAGUAUGAAGAAUACAAUUGCACAAAGCUGAAUAAAAUGUAGAUAUUUUCUCCAAAUUAUUUGAGGGAGUGCGCACAGAAAUAUGUACCCCUAUAUGCUUAUUUUAGAGUUAUUAAUGUACCUUUAGUUCUACAAAGAAUGUCAUAUGUAGCUAUAUGUUUCGAUUUUUAAUACAUCGUAAGGCUGCAUGAUGAGACUAAUGAUGAUUUUGAAAAGUUGCUUGAAAGGCACGAGCUCUGCUUUGUUUUUUUUGUGCAGGCUGUACACACUCCAAUAGUCACUCAUCCACAAUUUGACAAGCAUGCCUUGAUAAUGCCUCGAAAUUCAUGGCGGUAUCCCCUUCGUGGCAGUAAUGCACCCUAAAAAAAUCCAUUCAUUUUGUGGCCAGAGUGCUGUGUUGUGCCCUUCUCGCUGAGAGUGCUGCGCAAUCCGAAGCGUCUCUCACUCACAUGGCUCUCCGUCACGUUGUAACGGUUUUAACUUGAGGUUAUUAUUUAUAGGGGUGCCAGGUAGGUUGUGCCUACCAGAGAAAACAUUAGUUUCUCCUUUUGGUUUGGGAGGGAAUGAGUCCCAUCAAGUCUACACCAAUACAAAGGACUUAUGUAAAAGUCCGGAUGGAAAUAAACUUUUCAUAAACCCUUAAAACAUUGGAAAGAACUUCAAAAACAACUAUAUUCUUUUGCUUGGGUUGUAUUAGCAACAUCAAUGAUUACACACACAUACAAUAAUAUCACAAUGAGUUCUGGUUCUUCUAGCACUGUCCUGUAC